This is a long non-coding RNA of Xiphophorus hellerii (green swordtail), 973 nucleotides long. RefSeq lists it as uncharacterized. The record is from RefSeq and is a predicted model, not a curated record. The transcript has 2 exons. Lineage: Eukaryota; Metazoa; Chordata; Actinopteri; Cyprinodontiformes; Poeciliidae.
GUUGGUUUACACAGAGAUCAGGUCAGACCUUGUUGGAACGCUGAUCGUAAUCAGCCUGAGUCAUGUCUUCAGUCUGCCUGUUCACGUUGAUGCUUUCCGGACAGAAACUGUGUGAGUUUGUCCUGGCUCCCAGCACAGUGACGGUGAAACGAGUGGGAAGAAAACCUCUCUAACUGCGAAAGACUCGGGGACAAUCGGAAGCCUUUUUCGAACAAGUCCAGAUGUGCUGUGGAAGGUUUGAUUCCUCCUUUCCAUGGAGUUUAAUUUUGAUGCCCGUGUCUUUCUUGGGAAGUGUGUGGGUUUGUAUGGGCGUGGAGCUCUGCGCCGUCUCCUUGCACGACCGUUUAAAAAAAGAGUCGGUUGUGCAAGCUCACCUUGUUGUUCUCUCACCAAGUCCUCCAGGGCUUUUUCCCCAGCUGCUGAUUACUCUGACUAACAAAACACACUCUACUGGAAGUCUCAAUCUGCUCUAGCCGCCUCCAAACUGUCAAUUGAAUUGGAUCCUUCUUUAACACCGGGGUGUCAAAAGUGUGGCUUGAGGGUCAUUGGUAGGCCUUCGUAUUGAUUUUAUGUGGCCCCUGAUCACAGGCUGUGUUUCCAUUACAGAAAUUUGGCUGUUAUUCAGUCAAUGUCGAAAAAACAGAACUUUAUGUUUCCAUUGAAUAAGAAACAAUUAAAAUCGCACGAGACAAGGUCUAUCCAGCACAUGCGUGACGAGUACAUUGGUGAGUGUGAUCAGUGUGGGGGGGUGGCUCAGCGCAGCCGUGUGACCCUGACCUCCCUUCGAACUUGCCAGGUGAGCAGUCAGAGAUUGUCUCCUACAACUUAAAGACACCGUGUUGUUUUCCUGUCACGGACGAAAAUCAAGACUUUUGUCAAUCGAUCUCUCUAACGUCUCCAUGGGUGUGAGCAAAAAAAAAGAAAAGAAAAGUGAAUAUAGCACCAAAAUGAUGUUUCCUCCGGCUUCUUCCCA